GGGCAGCGUGCGCGCUCCCGUCGCCGGCGCGCUGAAGCGUGGGAAGGUUCCGCGGUGACCUGGCUCUGCGGCCGGGGCGCAGUUCUCAGGUUUGGCCUCAGAUAAAUUCUUCCAAGGUCUAGACCAAGAGUGAGGAGCAGACAAGCCCAACCGAUGUGAACACCAAGCCUGGUUGUCCAGUGUCAUCUUCGCUGGGAAUUAAGAAACAACUAAAAUAUCCUCCAAAGGGUGGUGGUCAAACCACGUGUGGCGCGUCUACACCCCGGAUGUGGCUCCGCAGCGAUGAAAGAAGCCACUGACUCACAGGGCACCGGUGCUCUCGGGAUGAUGCUGGAUGGAAAGGCCACUCCCAGAGAUCACAUGCAUAAAGGAUGAUUCCGGCUGUUUGGCAAAAUGACCAAAUCGUGGAGCCAGACAGAGACUAGGUUAGUAGUCGUGAGGGUCGGGGAUGGAAAGGUGAGGAGGGUGGGACUACACGGGGACAGCAGGAGGGAGUCUCUGUG
Molecule: long non-coding RNA, 503 nt
Organism: Prionailurus viverrinus (fishing cat)
Lineage: Eukaryota; Metazoa; Chordata; Mammalia; Carnivora; Felidae
Exons: 3
Source: RefSeq, a predicted model, not a curated record